UACGAAGGGUGCAAGCGUUACUCGGAAUUACUGGGCGUAAAGCGUGCGUAGGUGGUUCGUUAAGUCUGUCGUGAAAGCCCCGGGCUCAACCUGGGAAUGGCGAUGGAUACUGGCGAGCUAGAGUGCGGUAGAGGAGAGUGGAAUUCCCGGUGUAGCAGUGAAAUGCGUAGAGAUCGGGAGGAACAUCAGUUGCGAAGGCGGCUCUCUGGACCAGCACUGACACUGAGGCACGAAAGCGUGGGGAUCAAACAGG
RNAcentral lists this ribosomal RNA (253 nucleotides) under uncultured bacterium. Its description in RNAcentral is "partial 16S ribosomal RNA". It matches the Rfam family "Bacterial small subunit ribosomal RNA", at positions 524 to 776 of the family's 1533-position model. The record is from RNAcentral.